Zea mays is the source of this 1341-nucleotide RNA transcript. It is a transcript of the gene named mTERF-like protein pseudogene, with no coding region annotated. The transcript has a single exon. The record is from RefSeq and is marked validated. NCBI's taxonomy places the organism in Eukaryota, Viridiplantae, Streptophyta, Magnoliopsida, Poales, Poaceae.
GCUUUCUCCAGAUCAAAUCAGAAAGGGGAAGGGAAGAACGGCCCAGCAAUGCCGCUCUGCAGCUUCUACGCCUCCACCUCCGUUCCCGUCGUCAAGCCCCAGCAGUCCGUCGCCUCGUCCAAGCCCCCCACCACGGCGGUGGCCUCCGUGGCGACAACUGUGCCGAUGCGCAGUGCAGCGACGGUGACGCCAGCCGUGGCCACAACAACGAGCCUAGCGCUGUCUCUGCACCUGCCGGAGCUGCCGUCGCAGGUGAAGGACAAGAUCCUGAGCCUGGAGCUGAUGGGCGUGGACUAUGGGCGCGCGCUGGAGCAGAACCCGGCGCUCCGCGACGCGGCGCCGGAGUCCAUCCACGCGGUGGUGUCGUUCCUCCAGUCCCGCGGGCUCCAGUUCAAGGACCUGGGCCGCGUCUUCGGCAUGUGCCCGUCCGUGCUGACCGCCAGCGUCCGCGCCGACCUCCGCCCCGUGUUCGCCUUCCUCUCCGCGGACCUGGGCGUGCCGGAGUCGGCGCACCGGCGCGUGGUGAUCAAGUGCCCGCGCGUGCUGGCCUGCAGCGUCCGCGACCAGCUCCGCCCCGCGCUCAUCUACCUCCGCCGCCUGGGCUUCCGGGACAGCCGCGCGCUGGCGCUGCAGGACCCGAUCCUCCUCGUCUCCAGCGUGGAGCGCACCCUGGCGCCGAAGCUGGAGUACCUGGCCGGGCUCGGCAUGUCCCGCGACGACGCGGUCGCCAUGGUGCUGCGCUGCCCGGCGCUCUUCACCUUCAGCAUCGAGCGGAACUACCGGCCCAAGUUCGAGUACCUGGUGGACGCCAUGGGCGGCGGCGUCGAGGACGUCAAGGCCUUCCCGCAGUACUUCGCCUUCAGCCUCGAGAAGCGGAUCGCGCCGCGCCACCGCGCCGCGGAGGACGCCGGCGUCGCGCUGCCGCUUCCGGACAUGCUCAAGGCCACCGACGAGGAGUUCAGGGAGAUGCUCGACAAGGAGCGGGAGCUGCACGAGCAGGCAGCGACGACGGACUGAUCGAUCGGGGGGCUAGUACAGCGGUUUGCACCUGAUCCGACUCUCCGAAGCAUCCAACCGCCGUCUUCGUGGCGAUCGAGUGUCCUGGCCAUGACGGUAGCCAGCACAUGUAGUCAUUUGAUUUGAGUAAUUAGUAGCCUGUACAUAUAUGCAUUGACAUUAUUUGCUAUAGUCACGAUUCGUAGCUCAUGAGAGAAUAUGCCUGUUCUUUCUCCAUUCCAAGUGAAUAAGCACAGAGCUGGAAGUCGUGUCUUGUACACACGUGUAAUGAAUGAAUGUACCAAGUUCAUUAGAUAUUAUUUGCUCUGAGCUGCACGCUUGCGC